UUCAAUAAUAAGGGCCAUAUAAUUUGCCACAUCAAGCCUCGCCUGCCUCAUAAAGGAUCCAGUUAUUCCCUUUAAACAAAACAUUUCAUAGAUGAACAGUGCUCUCCUGUGAUCAAAGGCAGGAACUGCUCGCAUCAUAAAACAGGUGAAGGAUAUUGGAGGCUAUGUUAUCAAUUCCAGAAAAUCAGGAGAGCAAAUCACCAAGAGGUCGAGGAAUGGAGUCCAUACCAUGGUUUGCAGAUGGCUGUUCUAUCUUUGAGAAACAGAAGUCCAAGGGACUUUGGAAAUGCACUUGGCGUAGCACCUGACACAUACCAGGAUCACCCACAGCUGGACCUGGUUCAUUUGAGAGCAGAUUCAGGACCUUAAUGUGGCAGAAGGCACUAUUCUCUCCAGUUGCACAUGACAUAUUUCACCAGUAAUUAGGAGUGCAAUAAAUAUUAUUGAUUCUACUUACACAACAUCUCUAACUAUUCCAUUCUCAGCAGAAUCACCUUAAUAAUAAUAACUAACAUUUG
This is a long non-coding RNA of Trichosurus vulpecula (common brushtail), 518 nucleotides long. RefSeq lists it as uncharacterized. The transcript has 4 exons. The record is from RefSeq and is a predicted model, not a curated record. NCBI's taxonomy places the organism in Eukaryota, Metazoa, Chordata, Mammalia, Diprotodontia, Phalangeridae.